This 348-nucleotide unclassified non-coding RNA is filed under the name soil metagenome. RNAcentral's name for it is "partial contains 5.8S ribosomal RNA, internal transcribed spacer 2, and large subunit ribosomal RNA". The stretch from base 1 to 120 matches the Rfam family "5.8S ribosomal RNA", at positions 35 to 154 of the family's 154-position model. The record is from RNAcentral.
GAUGAAGAACGCAGCGAAAUGCGAUAAGUAAUGUGAAUUGCAGAAUUCAGUGAAUCAUCGAGUCUUUGAACGCACAUUGCGCCCCCUGGUAUUCCGGGGGGCAUGCCUGUCCGAGCGUCAUUGCCGCCCUCAAGCACGGCUUGUGUGUUGGGCCCCCGCCCCCCGGCUUCGGGGGGCGGGCCCGAAAGGCAGCGGCGGCACCGCGUCCGGUCCUCGAGCGUGUGGGGCUUCGUCACCCGCUCUGUAGGCCCGGCCGGCGCCCGCCGGCGACCCCAAUCAAUCUUUCCAGGUUGACCUCGGAUCAGGUAGGGAUACCCGCUGAACUUAAGCAUAUCAAUAAGCGGAGGA